AUACGUAGGGUGCAAGCGUUAAUCGGAAUUACUGGGCGUAAAGCGUGCGCAGGCGGUUCGGAAAGAAGGAUGUGAAAUCCCAGGGCUCAACCUUGGAACUGCAUUCUUAACUAACGGACUAGAGUAUGUCAGAGGGGGGUAGAAUUCCGCGUGGAGCAGUGAAAUGCGUAGAUAUGCGGAGGAAUACCGAUGGCGAAGGCAGCCCCCUGGGAUAAUACUGACGCUCAUGCACGAAAGCGUGGGUAGCAAACAGGAUUAGAUACCCUGGUAGUCCACGCCCUAAACGAUGUCAACUAGCUGUUGGGCCCUUCGGGGCUUAGUAGCGUAGCUAACGCGUGAAGUUGACCGCCUGGGGAGUACGGUCGCGAGAUUAAAACUCAAAUGAAUUGACGGGG
Molecule: ribosomal RNA, 395 nt
Filed under: uncultured bacterium
Lineage: Bacteria
Description: partial 16S ribosomal RNA
Rfam family: Bacterial small subunit ribosomal RNA
Source: RNAcentral